AUUGAACGCUGGCGGCAUGCCUUACACAUGCAAGUCGAGCGGCAGCGCGGGGGCAACCCUGGCGGCGAGCGGCGAACGGGUGAGUAAUACAUCGGAACGUGUCCAGUAGCGGGGGAUAACCUGUCGAAAGAUAGGCUAAUACCGCAUACGAUCCACGGAUGGAAAGCGGGGGACUCUCGGGCAACUGAGGGCCUCGCACUAUUGGAGCGGCCGAUGUCGGAUUAGCUAGUUGCGGGGUAAAGCCCACCAAGGCGACGAUCCGUAG
This 265-nucleotide ribosomal RNA is filed under the name uncultured bacterium. Its description in RNAcentral is "partial 16S ribosomal RNA". It matches the Rfam family "Bacterial small subunit ribosomal RNA", at positions 30 to 286 of the family's 1533-position model. The record is from RNAcentral.